Molecule: ribosomal RNA, 468 nt
Filed under: uncultured bacterium
Lineage: Bacteria
Description: partial 16S ribosomal RNA
Rfam family: Bacterial small subunit ribosomal RNA
Source: RNAcentral
GACGAACGCUGGCGGCGUGCUUAACACAUGCAAGUCGAACGGAAAGGCCCUGCUUUUGUGGGGUGCUCGAGUGGCGAACGGGUGAGUAACACGUGAGUAACCUGCCCUUGACUUUGGGAUAACUUCAGGAAACUGGGGCUAAUACCGGAUAGGAGCUCCUGCUGCAUGGUGGGGGUUGGAAAGUUUCGGCGGUUGGGGAUGGACUCGCGGCUUAUCAGCUUGUUGGUGGGGUAGUGGCUUACCAAGGCUUUGACGGGUAGGCGGCCUGAGAGGGUGACCGGCCACAUUGGGACUGAGAUACGGCCCAGACUGCUACGGGAGGCAGCAGGGGGGAAUAUUGCACAAUGGGCGGAAGCCUGAUGCAGCAACGCCGCGUGCGGGAUGACGGCCUUCGGGUUGUAAACCGCUUUCGACUGUGACGAAGCGUGAGUGACGGUAAUGGGUAAAGAAGCACCGGCUAACUACGUG